Molecule: long non-coding RNA, 764 nt
Organism: Esox lucius (northern pike)
Lineage: Eukaryota; Metazoa; Chordata; Actinopteri; Esociformes; Esocidae
Source: Ensembl
AUUUAUCAUGAGCUGAACUCAAAGAAUCUAAGACUUUCUCUAUGUACACAAAAGACCUACUUCUCUCAAAUAUUGUUCACAAAUCUGUCUAAAUCUGUGUUACUUCUCCUUUGACGAGAUAAUCCAUCCACCUCACAGGUGUGGCAUAUCAAGAUGCUGAUUAGACAGCAUGAUUAUUGCACAGGAGUCACAUAAUAUGUCGGGGUUGGCUGGCCUUCCCUAGUCACUUUCAUGCUGGGGUUGGCUGGCCUUCCCUAGUCACUUUCAUGCUGGGGUUGGCUGGCCUUCCCUAGUCACUUUCAUGCUGGGGUUGGCUGGCCUUCCCUAGUCACUUUCAUGUUGAGGUUGGCUGGCCUUCCCUAGUCACUUUCAUGUUGAGUUUGGCUGGCCUUCCCUAGUCACUUUCAUGCUGGGGUUGGCUGGCCUUCCCUAGUCACUUUCAUGCUGGGGUUGGCUGGCCUUCCCUAGUCACUUUCAUGCUGGGGUUGGCUGGCCUUCCCUAGUCAUCCACAGACUCAGUCCCUGGGAUACUUUCAUUUACAAAGACAUUCUGGGUUUGCUAUGUUCUUAUUUAUGAGUUUUAAUUCUUCCGAAAUGUGGUGGGUACUCGUUGUUAUCCCGAUAACUGUCCCACUUGCCCUCACGGAACUUUGGGGCUUUUAUGGAAUCUGUCCCAUCGGCUUACACAAUAGUUUUGAAUUGGAGGAACUUGGCCCUUUUGGUAUUUUUAGAUCAUUGAUGAACGACUUUGAGGUUGAUUCCUU